RNAcentral lists this unclassified non-coding RNA (1849 nucleotides) under Leishmania donovani. RNAcentral's name for it is "gene:LdHU3.36.6270(CDS-product:asparaginase-like_ protein)". Lineage: Eukaryota; Euglenozoa; Kinetoplastea; Trypanosomatida; Trypanosomatidae. The record is from RNAcentral.
AUAUCGCACGGCGUGCGUGACGGCAGCACUGGCAGAAGGACGGCUCUUUUCUGUUUUAUCGCUGACAAACCCUUUUUCACCCCCUCACCCGUGCUUUGUUUCCCUGGAGCCUGUGGCAGCCGCGUGUGCCGUGACGGCGUGAGCGCCUGUGCGCUCGGCACCGCAAGCGGCUUACUUUUUUCUUGAAAGCGGCAAAGUUUUUUUUUUUGCUAGAUCGUCGAAACACUCGCUCUGCAGUGGGCUUUCAUUGACUUUUCUUCUAUCGUACCUGCACCACUACGGGAAUGGGCCUAUUCAUUUGAGCCCUCGUAUCUCACCAAAACCCUUCCUCCUUUUUCUCUGUGUUAGUCUGUGUAGCGCUCGCCGCAAUGCUGUACAUCAGUAGCGGCCUUGUGGGUCGCAAGGCGAUGAGCGGUGAGCUGUCCCCUGAGGAGGACACGUCGGGUGCCAAGGUACUCCUCAUCAACAUGCGCAGCCAUCAGUCUGAUCUGCUCGACCAAGCGCAGCGGAGCAACGUCAACCGUCGCAGAUUUUUUCUCGACAUUCUCCACUGCAACGAAGACUUGCACAGGCCGGGUGUGCCCAGCUUCGACGUGAUGCAGCUGGAAAAACUGAAACUCUCGGCAGACCACACGCACGAGGACUGGAUAGAGCUGGCGCAGCUCAUAAAGAAGGAGUACCACCACUACCGCGGUUUUGUGGUGGAGAGCGGGUCAGACAACAUGGUCACUACCUCCACGGCGGUCAGCUUCUUACUCGAGAACCUCGGCAAGCCGGUCAUUUUCACAGGCUCACUCAUCCCCGGUCAUCGCAUCUACACCGACAUGACGCGGAACAUUAUCCUCGCCUUGGCGUUCGCCAGCUGUAGCCAGAUCUGUGAUGUGUGCAUUCUCUUUGACGAGAUGCUCUACCGCGCAAAUCGCACCAUCAAAAUGAGUCGUUGCAGCUUGCGCCCCUUCGACUCGCCGCACUUCCCUCCUAUCGCAUCCAUGCGCGGCGGUGUCCUGAUAAUUCGCAAGGUACUGCUCCGUCCGCACCCCACCGGCCGACUGCGCAUCGAAGCAGAGUUGUCCACGAAGGUGCUGACGCUCGAGCUGGGCCCGGGAGCGCCGUUUGAGUUUUUCCGAGCUGCCAUUGAGUACACAAGCGCUCCGGCCCUCAUCCUGCGCUGCUACGGCAGCGGUAACGGGCCGACCCGGCGUGACUUUAUGAAGCGCCUCCUCGCCAUAGCGAAGACUCGCGACUUGGUGGUGGUGAUUUGCACGCACAACCGCUACGGGGUGGUGGCGCUGUCCGAAUACGAAGCGGGGCGUCAGCUUAUGGGGGCUGGGGCCAUCAGCGCCGGUGACAUGACUCACGAGGCGGCCAUGGUGAAGCUCAAGUACCUGUUCGGUCUUGGCAUGUCUCCGGAGCAGGUGCGCAAGUACUUUGCUGUGGACAUGCGCGGCGAAGUAUCGUCGCCGUCCGCGAAGCUGUGAAGCGCCCUGGAGAGCGCUAGCUCCAUGUAGGGCGUAAGAAGACACCGGAUUCACUGUUCCUAUACGCCAGCGUCUCCGCGGGUGCUUGUUGAAGCACGAUGACGCCUUCUCUUCCCUGCCGUAACACUAUCUCCAUCCUCAGGCUUGCGCGCAUGUUUUCCGCUAUGUUUUUUUUUUGUUCUUGCGGUGCGGGCGGGAGGGGCGAGGGGCGUUGUUUGGUUUCACCGACUCCUUACCGACGGAUAUGUCAGCACUAUAGUUGGACGUGCUCGUUGUACUUGUGCACAAGCGCACAGGAGCGCGAAGAGGAAAAACAUGUUGCACCAACCAUGCAAUCCAAGCCAACGGGGGGACACUCCCCUUCUUCUUGG